CUGCGUCUUCCCACUCUCUGCUAGAAUUAUACAUAUUGGAAAGCAAUGUACAGUACCAUAAUUUUCUGUGUCAAAUUUAGCAUUUUGCUAUCCUAAUUCCUGUUUCAAUUUCAUUAUGAGCUUUACGCGCACUUAAUGAAUCUCCCAGACACCUCUGUCAGGACAAAUGGGCAUUGACCAGACCAGUUCUUCUGCUUGCUGCAUGCUACAUGAUCUUUCAAGAAGAUCCACCAUACAAGCAUAAUACUUCAGGUUGGGUUUCAGAAAAUGUUACUGCAAUCCAUCAAACGCAUGCUUCUUUCCUUAACCAGUCCUGCAUUAACAUAAGCUGAGAGAAGAGACCUCAAAUAAGCGCAUUUGGUUUACCAUUUGAUCACUCCAUUUGUUGGAAAAUUUCUAUUGCGUAUUUUGCAUCUCCACACAUUCCAUAACUAGCUAUCAUUAUAUUCCAAGCAGUAGCAUCCCCGUCCUUCAAUGAGUUGAACAAUUAUCUUGAUUUUUCAAGCUGGCCACAUUUUGCAUACAUAUUAAUCUAUGCAGUAACAAGUGUUACAUUGAGGUCAAACCCUCCUUCCUUAUCGUAAUGGUGAACCUUUUCUCCUUUCUCUGAAGAUCCAAGAUGAGAACCAGCUGAAAGUAUUGUAACCAGUGUUGCUGAGUUGGGCCUCAACUGUUGUGAGACCAUUUCAUCAAAUAAGAUUGUCUCAACAGCCUGACCACUCUGAGUAUACAAUGAGAUCAAUAUAUUCCAAGUGACAGUAUCUCAUUUUGACCUAGAAAAAAAUUCUUCGUGCAAUAGGUAAAUACCAUCUUUUCUAUACAUGUCUAUGAGUUAAUUGAUGAUAUAGAUAUCUUCAUCCGUACAACUUUUUAUUAUAUAACAAUGAAGAGACUGGCAUAGAAGGAUUGCUCCCACCUGAGAACAUGAAGAAAUCACGGAGACAAAUCUGUUUGAAUCAACUCCAAUUUCCAGAUAUUGCAGCACAAGGAGCGUUCCAGAACUCUUUACUCCAUGUAUGUUCUGUAUUAUUAGCCAUCUGAUCAAACAAUUA
This 1052-nucleotide unclassified non-coding RNA is filed under the name Hevea brasiliensis (rubber tree). Lineage: Eukaryota; Viridiplantae; Streptophyta; Magnoliopsida; Malpighiales; Euphorbiaceae. The record is from RNAcentral.